This 30-nucleotide non-coding RNA is filed under the name Homo sapiens (human). Lineage: Eukaryota; Metazoa; Chordata; Mammalia; Primates; Hominidae. The record is from RNAcentral.
UGCAUCUGUGUCCCACGUCCUGCUCAGGAU